Molecule: long non-coding RNA, 1003 nt
Filed under: Cottoperca gobio
Lineage: Eukaryota; Metazoa; Chordata; Actinopteri; Perciformes; Bovichtidae
Description: lncRNA (ENSCGOG00000021578.1)
Source: RNAcentral
CCUGAAGUAAACACACACACACACACACACACACACACACACACACACACACACACACACACACACACACACACAUAACCACACAUCAACUCAGCUCCCUUGAUAUCCAUUCAGACUAUACCUCUUCCUCUCUCUCUCUCUCUCUCUCUCUCUCUCUCUCUCUGUGAGUGUGUGGCGCCAUGGUGAAAAACACUGCGGUUCUUUCAGCCAGUCAGUCAGAGCCAGUAGCCUAUACACACUGUCUCUCUCCCUCAUUCAGCGCCUGGCUCACUCUCUCUACGCUCAACACGCGCUGAUCCUCGCCUCCUCACUGCAUCUGUCCUCUUCUCCCUGAAGUGAGGUACCAUGCAUCCUGCUCUCUCCUCCUCCUUCUCUUCUCCGCUUGUCUGUUAUCAUUCCAGGGUCUCUUUAUCAAACAGAGCAUUCUUGCUGCAAAGCCGGCGACCGUAAAGACUGUGUUACUUGCUCAAAGGACUUUGGAGACGGGACAAGGUUGUUUUGCCGGGUUUGAGGACAGCUGCCGGAAACGCUGCUGUUGUUGCCGCUUUCUGUUGGGAUGCGAACCUUUGCGGGGCCUCUGCUUGCUGUGUAACGACGCUUGACUCCUUUCAAAGUUGCAGAAGGGCAGACGUCAAUCAAGAAUCUCAUCCUUGUUUCUCUGAGAACACUGACAACUCGCCGUGUGUGGAGUCAGACCGGCACAGGAUCCCCAUCUCAACCCCUCACACACUGACCAGGACUGCACUGCUGCUAUGUCCGAUCUUGACGCAACAUCAGCUUGAGAUUCUUCUCCCGAAAGUUACUGAACAAUCUCAUGCUCCUAUCAUUCCUGCCUGUGAUUUCCAUAUGAGAUUCAGCAGCACCAGGCAGAACUGGCCUGGAUCACUGACUUUCAACUUCACAUAAGAACAACAAGGACUAAAUCUGAGUUCCACGGACAGAAACAAGACUGUUUAGUACUUUAAGGUCACAAACAAAGCCCUGUUUGUAUUGGAGCAGCUCU